AAGAGACAGCAGCCGCCGCGGGAAUACAGAGGGUGCGAGCGUUAAUCGGAUUUACUGGGCGUAAAGCGUGCGUAGGCGGCUAAUUGAGUCGGAUGUGAAAUCCCCGAGCUUAACUUGGGAAUUGCAUUCGAUACUGGUUAGCUAGAGUGUGGGAGAGGAUGGUAGAAUUCCAGGUGUAGCGGUGAAAUGCGUAGAGAUCUGGAGGAAUACCGAUGGCGAAGGCAGCCAUCUGGCCUAACACUGACGCUGAGGUACGAAAGCAUGGGGAGCAAACAGGAUUAGAUACCCCUGUAGUCCCUGUCUCUUAUAU
RNAcentral lists this ribosomal RNA (310 nucleotides) under uncultured bacterium. Its description in RNAcentral is "partial 16S ribosomal RNA". It matches the Rfam family "Bacterial small subunit ribosomal RNA", at positions 503 to 809 of the family's 1533-position model. The record is from RNAcentral.